Molecule: non-coding RNA, 26 nt
Filed under: Homo sapiens (human)
Lineage: Eukaryota; Metazoa; Chordata; Mammalia; Primates; Hominidae
Source: RNAcentral
UAAAAUUGCUAUCACCAACCUCAUGC